Acanthosepion pharaonis is the source of this 108-nucleotide non-coding RNA. The record is from the annotation of a GenBank genome assembly. NCBI's taxonomy places the organism in Eukaryota, Metazoa, Mollusca, Cephalopoda, Sepiida, Sepiidae.
GGCCACAUUACGUUGAAGCACCGGUUCCCGUACGAUCACCGAAGUUAAGCAACGUCGAGCGUGGCCAGUACCCAGAUAGUUGACUGCUUAUAAAUACCAUGUGCUGAA